Molecule: ribosomal RNA, 484 nt
Filed under: uncultured bacterium
Lineage: Bacteria
Description: partial 16S ribosomal RNA
Rfam family: Bacterial small subunit ribosomal RNA
Source: RNAcentral
AUUGAACGCUGGCGGCAGGCCUAACACAUGCAAGUCGAGCGGAUGAAGGGAGCUUGCUCCUGGAUUCAGCGGCGGACGGGUGAGUAAUGCCUAGGAAUCUGCCUGGUAGUGGGGGAUAACGUCCGGAAACGGGCGCUAAUACCGCAUACGUCCUGAGGGAGAAAGUGGGGGAUCUUCGGACCUCACGCUAUCAGAUGAGCCUAGGUCGGAUUAGCUAGUUGGUGGGGUAAAGGCCUACCAAGGCGACGAUCCGUAACUGGUCUGAGAGGAUGAUCAGUCACCCUGGAACUGAGACACGGUCCCGACUCCUACGGGAGGCACGAGUGGGGAAUAUUGGACGAUGGGCGAAAGCAUGAUCCAGCCAUGCCGCGUGUGUGAAGAAGGUCUUCGGAUUGUAAAGCAUUUUAAGUUGGGAGGAAGGGCAGUAAGUUAAUACCUUGCUGUUUUGACGUUACCAACAGAAUAAGCACCGGCUAACUUCGUG